RNAcentral lists this transfer RNA (73 nucleotides) under Felis catus (domestic cat). It matches the Rfam family "tRNA". From Rfam's summary of the family: Transfer RNA (tRNA) molecules are approximately 80 nucleotides in length. Their secondary structure includes four short double-helical elements and three loops (D, anti-codon, and T loops). The record is from Rfam by way of RNAcentral. Lineage: Eukaryota; Metazoa; Chordata; Mammalia; Carnivora; Felidae.
ACCCAGCUGGCUCAGUCAGUAGAGUGUGUGACUCUUAAUGUCUGGGUUAUGAGUUCAAGCCCCAUGUUGGGCA